UCGCGUCUCAAAAUGGCGCGGUGAAUAUGCCCCUGCUCCUUGCACACACCGCCCGUCAAACCAUCUUAGUUGGGGGUGGGUGAGGCUACCUUUUAAUGGGGUAUUCGAGCCUGCCUUCGACAAGGAGGGUUAAGUCGUAACAAGGUAUCUGUAGGGGAACCUGCAGAUGGAUCACCUCCUAAGAAA
Molecule: ribosomal RNA, 186 nt
Filed under: Methanobacteriota archaeon
Lineage: Archaea; Methanobacteriati; Methanobacteriota
Description: Euryarchaeota archaeon partial 16S ribosomal RNA
Rfam family: Archaeal small subunit ribosomal RNA
Source: RNAcentral